RNAcentral lists this ribosomal RNA (242 nucleotides) under uncultured Actinomycetes bacterium. RNAcentral's name for it is "uncultured actinobacterium partial 16S ribosomal RNA". It matches the Rfam family "Bacterial small subunit ribosomal RNA", at positions 28 to 276 of the family's 1533-position model. The record is from RNAcentral. Lineage: Bacteria; Bacillati; Actinomycetota; Actinomycetes.
GACGAACGCUGGCGGCGUGCUUAACACAUGCAAGUCGAACGGUGAACCACUUCGGUGGGGAUCAGUGGCGAACGGGUGAGUAACACGUGGGCAACCUGCCCUUAGCUCUGGGAUAACCCCGGGAAACCGGGGCUAAUACCGGAUACGACCUCGAGCGGCAUCACUCGAGGUGGAAAGAAUUUCGGCUAAGGAUGGGCCCGCGGCCUAUCAGCUUGUUGGUGGGUAACGGCCUACCAAGGCGA